Long non-coding RNA from Pseudophryne corroboree (corroboree frog), 2379 nucleotides. RefSeq lists it as uncharacterized. The record is from RefSeq and is a predicted model, not a curated record. The transcript has 5 exons. NCBI's taxonomy places the organism in Eukaryota, Metazoa, Chordata, Amphibia, Anura, Myobatrachidae.
UGCCAAAGACACCGAGCCAGACCUAUCUCAGUAGCCUGCUUUGGCAGUGAUGGGGUUAACUGAAGAAAGGAGGCAGAAUCCAGGGAUGCAGUGAUGACAGAUAAUAGCACCAUUGAGACCCAGGUCCUGCACUGCAAAGCACUCUGGAGCCUACAGAGGGCCCCAAGCAACAGACGGAUGUAAAUUCUAAUUGGAAAUCGAGUGUGCGUGUUUACACGUCCUUCCAAGAGGCCCUCCCUCUCUUCAUUAAAUCAUUAACUGGAUGUAGCAGGUCCUUCAUGAAUUCCUCAUGUACAGAGAAUAUUGAGCAAGGUGACAAAAGAUGUCAAAUGGCCACAGAUAUUAAACCGUCAGUGGUGUCGGGUUUCAGCGGCAGCCGGCAGGAAGAUUGCGUACAAGAAAAGAAUAACCUACCGACCCACUCCAGGAAUGAAGAAUGAAGGCCAACAUGUGGGGGAGUGACCAUGCUGCAUUAUAAAUACCUGUGCUGAAGGGGGCUUGGCCGUAUGCUUGAGCCCAAUUACCGAGUGUUGUGUCCAAAGAACAGUAACAGUACGUCUCUGAGAAGUGCAGCAGGAACCAGAAAAAUAAAACAAUGUAAUUAAUAGAGAUAAGUGUUCCGGUUUUGCUGAAAACCAAACACACCCGAAUUUUGGGGUUCCAAGUUGAACUGAAUCCUGGUUUGAAUCACUUUGGGGUUCCGAACAGUCUUCCCACCAAAUUCUGAUCUUGGAUCUCAAAAACAGAUCUUGCGUGUUAUGGAAUGCCGGUAAUUCCGUCACUUGUGAUUUCAGGUGCCAUGUCACACAGGAGAGUGUAUGGAGAGGGUUUGGGCAAGAGUUUAUGCUGCAAUACUGCAUGCUACCAUCUAAAGGAGACAUUUACCAAGCAGUGAUAAUAGUGGAGAAGUGAGCCAGUGGAGAUAUUUCCCCAUCAACCAAUCAGCAGCUCUGUAUUAUUUUAUAGUAUGCAAAUGAUAGAUGUUACUUCAGUGCUGAUUGGUUGCCAUGGGCAACUUCUCCACUGGCUCACUUCUCCGCUCUUAUCACUGCUUAGUAAAUGUCCCCCUAAGUUACAUGAUUUUAGUUUUUUGUUAUUUUUUUUUUUUAAUCAAUUUUUUAAGAAAUCCACAUUCAAAACCCUUGAGGGUGGUUUUGGCAAAACCAAACCACACAAGUGAUUUAGAACCAAAACCAAAGCCAAAAACACAGGGUCUGCGCACAUCCCUAGCAUUUAGUAAAUGCUACAGAAAGAUAUUAAUAAACCAAUCAAUUGUUAAAAGUUUUCUAAAGUUAUCUGAACACGUCAGUGCUGGGAUUGGAAAGCUGGUCUUGUUCUGUUAAAUGAGACAGGCGGUGAAAAUAACAAAAUAGAUUUCUGCAUUAGAAGCCUUUGAUACUUUCCCUCAACUUUUCCCAGGCCAUGGCUCCAUCCGGGAAUCCUACUCCACCAGCAAAGAGGAACUCUCCAGCUAAUUAAGGAGCAUUGCUUAGUGCCGGCAAUGUCAGAACACAAAGCCUCGCUCCCUCUUCCAUUCCACUCUUUGUUCUUGUUUACAUCCCGGCCCGGCACGGAACUCUUUGUCUAAUUAGCUGUUGAUAGAUCGGAUGCUCUUGUUUUCAUAAACAUUUAAUUCUUCCGUCAUCCGCAUUUACGCUACUGCAUGUUGAAUUGUCUUUUACCAGCCUAAUUUGGUUUGAGUGAAUGUAAAUCCCAUUAAGCAGUCAGUGUGUACCUAUCAGAGUGUAGAGCACAAUCUUCAAACUGUCUUAGUUACAAUAGCAUGCAUAAGGGCUGACUAUAAGGAGAUUUUGGAGCCAUUAUUAGUUAUGGUUUCCGUCCAAAUCACCGAGAUUGAAAUGCUUUGAUGCUGGAAGCUUUGUGUACUGAGAAUCUUUCCUGUAAUAAAUGUAAAGUACAUAAGUAUCCUGUUUUAUAAAGCAGCAGUACGCUGUGUGUUACUUAUAAACAUAGAUUACACUGGGAAAUAUAUCGCACAAUACUAAUAAUAACUGACUCGGCGGCCAAUCAUAUUACAGUGUGUAUUUAGCAGAAACAUCUGAACUCGCUGCACCAUUGGGAACUACUUAGUAGAUUUAAGUACAUGGGAGGGUACGUGAUAUGGACGCCUUCAAGAUGACAAUGUAACAUUGCCUUAAACGUCAGGAUGACAGACAACUUUCAAAUAAAUAAAAUCAUUUCUAUUUGUUGAUUGCUGGCACUAAGGUAACACGGGGUCUAAUUCAGAAAUGAUCGCUGCUGCGCGUUUUUGCUCAGCGGGCGAUCAGGUCUGAACUGCGCAUACGCCGCAGUGCGUAUGUGUAUGCCGUAGAUGCGAUCGGGAUCUCAGCCCAGCGAUCGCCUCUGCCUGAUUGAUAG